AAGUUAAUUUAAAUUAUACGCCUAAAGCAACUACACACUUUCAAAUUUUCGAGGACUAUGGAAAAUUCAACUAAAUGGCAUGCCUCGAUUUCUAAGGAUUAAAAAUUUAUAAAUGAGGACCAUGCAUUUUGAGAUUUUAUUUGGCACGGCACACCUGAAAUAAAUAAAGGAUCUAACUAAUUGAAAUAAAGACUAAGGGAAUUCCCAAUUUAUUUUUAAGCCAAAGUGUGAACUAAACUUAGUGAUCAUUAAACUAAACAAAAACGAAAGCAGACAAUGUUUAAUUUUUGUAGGAGCCCAGACAGGUUGUGAGCCCAAUGACAGACUACCAAAUACAGGAACGAGCCUGGAGACACUGUUGGGCUUACACGUGAAGCCCAUUUCAAGAGUUUGGUAUUUAAGGAGAAAUUCGGCAUAAAUGGGCUAGACCAAUUUGGAAAAGACCAUAUGACUCAAAGCUUUCUAUACCAAAUUAAAUCAAACUUGUUGAAUCCACAACAUGAGUGGUCCAAACUCAUAAACAUUCCCCACCCAUAGCUAUGAAAAACAUAUCCAAAACUAGCCAACCUCGUCAGUAGCUAAAUAGUCACAGUCCUCAAUUAUACAUGUUAUGCUAGAGAGAAAAAUCUUGAAUCAACUACAGUUAAACAAUGUCUUAACUCCAAACCUUAGAACAAACAUGUAAUACUAAUGACUACACCUAAGAAGCUAGACAAAAAGGAACACAAAACAAAAUAUAGUAAAUUCAAAUGGCUGAUAAAAUAACAGAGAAUUAGCAUUUGUCAACUUCUUCCACUCGAAUUAAAUGACUUAACACAACAGCUUAAUCAAGCUUCAUUUCCAUUCAUGGUUUGAAGAAAGUACCUGGUUAUAGCAGCAAAACAGUAGGAAAUGAACUCAGAAUGAAGUAGAUGAGAACAACAGAGUAUCAGCAAUGGAACAGCAGCACAACUAGUAGAUUAAACCAAAGUUUUAAACCAAUUUGAACCCUUUCAAACCCAGAUACAUGACCUUGGAAGCUUUUGGAAAUUAUAAACUCUUUAGGGGGAUCUAAAGAACCAAAAACCAAGCCUAAAUCAAGUAAUUUUUCAGUAUUUUUAAACUUAGAAGACGACUCAACCGUUUUCAAUUCUUUUGUAUUUUUAAUUCCUCAAAAUCUGACUUGUGAAUGAAGAAAGAAUGUCUUUAUAGGCAAGCCUUACCGCAGCAAAAGUGAAUUUAUUUUUGCACUUUAAACCUUAUUGAAUAUUUAUUUUUGGUCAAGUACUUUUAGUUUAAAAUCAGCAUUUUCAGUAUAAGUCCUAAAGGCACCUUCCUAGCAACUUACUAAAUUAGUUAUAAAGAUAUUCCCUAACCUAAAUUCCUAAAUUAACCCCUACGAACCCUGCUUUUACCCUGAAACCAAUAGGUUAUGGGUCAAAUUGACCCAAUGAUUCAAUACUGUCAUGAGUCUAACAAGACCUGGCUAAUCACUUUUCUUUGGGCCCAAUUCCAAUUCAAAACCUCAAUAGAAGAUUGGAGAAGGCAGAAAAUAAAGGGCAAUUCGGAGUUAGUUAGACGCCCUGAACCAAAGGUUCUUAAUGGCCCAAAACUAAAGGGAAAAUCAAACAAAACUAAACUAUCGAAUCAAACAAAACUAAUGAAAAUAUAAAUUAACAUACAAUCGAAAUUAAAAGAAGCGCAUGCAAAGAUGAUUUUGAGAAAAAAGAAGAAAAAGAAGAAAAUAGAAGAAGAUAGGGAAAAAUGAAAAAGAGGAAAAACUAAAAAUACCUAUCAAAACCAGGCGAACAAACAGUCUUGAUCUAAUAUUCAAGGAAUCUUCGAUUUUUGACCAAAUAGACCUUAAUCGUGUGUUCUCAAAUAAAAACACGCAAAUAAAGUCGAUUUCAACCUCAAAUCUUCAAUAAACUCGCCGAUUUGAUUUUUAAGGGGGAUUUAGGGUUCGUCUCUUCAAAUAAAGAUCCAACGGAAUCUAGGGUCGAAGGAAACCGAGUAGAGAUAGGGAAAAGGAGGUAAUAGGGAGUUUGUGGUGUUAAUUUGGGCUGGUUCGAGGGUGGAGCCGCCACCGGAGGAAGCUAGAGCGGUGCUAGGGUUGAUGGUUGUCUCUGAUGGUGGAGGAGAUGAAUUGAGAGAAGAGUUAGA
This 2142-nucleotide long non-coding RNA is filed under the name Nicotiana benthamiana. RNAcentral's name for it is "long non-coding RNA (NBEN_LNC010583)". The record is from RNAcentral. Lineage: Eukaryota; Viridiplantae; Streptophyta; Magnoliopsida; Solanales; Solanaceae.